GGGCGCUGCUAUACAUGCAAGUCGAGCGAACAGAUAAGGAGCUUGCUCCUUUGACGUUAGCGGCGGACGGGUGAGUAACACGUGGGUAACCUACCUAUAAGACUGGGAUAACUUCGGGAAACCGGAGCUAAUACCGGAUAACAUUUGGAACCGCAUGGUUCUAAAGUGAAAGAUGGUUUUGCUAUCACUUAUAGAUGGACCCGCGCCGUAUUAGCUAGUUGGUAAGGUAACGGCUUACCAAGGCGACGAUACGUAGCCGACCUGAGAGGGUGAUCGGCCACACUGGAACUGAGACACGGUCCAGACUCCUACGGGAGGCAGCAGUAGGGAAUCUUCCGCAAUGGGCGAAAGCCUGACGGAGCAACGCCGCGUGAGUGAUGAAGGGUUUCGGCUCGUAAAACUCUGUUAUUAGGGAAGAACAAAUGUGUAAGUAACUGUGCACGUCUUGACGGUACCUAAUCAGAAAGCCACGGCUAACUACGUGCCAGCAGCCGCGGUAAUACGUAGGUGGCAAGCGUUAUCCGGAAUUAUUGGGCGUAAAGCGCGCGUAGGCGGUUUCUUAAGUCUGAUGUGAAAGCCCACGGCUCAACCGUGGAGGGUCAUUGGAAACUGGGAAACUUGAGUGCAGAAGAGGAAAGUGGAAUUCCAUGUGUAGCGGUGAAAUGCGCAGAGAUAUGGAGGAACACCAGUGGCGAAGGCGACUUUCUGGUCUGUAACUGACGCUGAUGUGCGAAAGCGUGGGGAUCAAACAGGAUUAGAUACCCUGGUAGUCCACGCCGUAAACGAUGAGUGCUAAGUGUUAGGGGGUUUCCGCCCCUUAGUGCUGCAGCUAACGCAUUAAGCACUCCGCCUGGGGAGUACGACCGCAAGGUUGAAACUCAAAGGAAUUGACGGGGACCCGCACAAGCGGUGGAGCAUGUGGUUUAAUUCGAAGCAACGCGAAGAACCUUACCAAAUCUUGACAUCCUUUGAAAACUCUAGAGAUAGAGCCUUCCCCUUCGGGGGACAAAGUGACAGGUGGUGCAUGGUUGUCGUCAGCUCGUGUCGUGAGAUGUUGGGUUAAGUCCCGCAACGAGCGCAACCCUUAAGCUUAGUUGCCAUCAUUAAGUUGGGCACUCUAGGUUGACUGCCGGUGACAAACCGGAGGAAGGUGGGGAUGACGUCAAAUCAUCAUGCCCCUUAUGAUUUGGGCUACACACGUGCUACAAUGGACAAUACAAAGGGCAGCUAAACCGCGAGGUCAUGCAAAUCCCAUAAAGUUGUUCUCAGUUCGGAUUGUAGUCUGCAACUCGACUACAUGAAGCUGGAAUCGCUAGUAAUCGUAGAUCAGCAUGCUACGGUGAAUACGUUCCCGGGUCUUGUACACACCGCCCGUCACACCACGAGAGUUUGUAACACCCGAAGCCGGUGGAGUAACCAUUUAUGGAGCUAGCCGUCGAAGGUGAACC
Molecule: ribosomal RNA, 1448 nt
Filed under: Staphylococcus saprophyticus
Lineage: Bacteria; Bacillati; Bacillota; Bacilli; Caryophanales; Staphylococcaceae
Description: bacterial SSU rRNA
Rfam family: Bacterial small subunit ribosomal RNA
Source: RNAcentral